AUGGAUCAUGUUGGCAUACUUUGGACUGACAAAGAUCUAAGCAGUGAGAUAUAUAUUGAAUUGCAUGGUCUGGACAUGGGCUUGAGCAGGUAACAGAGAAUGUGUAAAGAAUUAAGUUCCAAUAAAUUAGUCAUGAAUUGAAUCAUAGGUAAUUAUAACCAUAACUAGGGGAAAAAGCGAAAAGUAACUUUUAACCUGUUCUUAAGCCGUGAGAACA
RNAcentral lists this unclassified non-coding RNA (217 nucleotides) under Hevea brasiliensis (rubber tree). Lineage: Eukaryota; Viridiplantae; Streptophyta; Magnoliopsida; Malpighiales; Euphorbiaceae. The record is from RNAcentral.